AAAACUAGCAAUAUCGACAUUCAGACAGCGGAUUCAUCGAUUUCCUGAAUCAUAUUAGUUUUAAUUUCUUUCGUUUCAAAAAUUGUCAAUCCGAUUUUUGUCGUACUUAUAAAUACGUAAUAAUUUACAAAGACGUCGAAACAAAAUAUAUUUUUUUAGAUUCCGAGCGUAACGUGAGAGCUAUUGGUUUUGCAAUGCUAUUUAUUUAUUUUUUUUUCUUUGUUCUAGACUGUGGACACAUUUUUUUCCUAGUAAAUUUGCUCCAAUUUUACGUGUACUUUUCUGACAGCUCAAGUUGUCUAGAUUUUCCUUUAAGCGGAUCAUUUUUUUGAAUUUCGACGCCAUUUUUUAAAUAAAAGCAUAUAAGUGGGAAAAAACGUAGGAAAACGUACAAUUUCACGAUUUCAUUAUUUUAAAAACACGGACGACGUUUUCUACAGGAAAAAAUGAUUUAAUC
This is a non-coding RNA of Cinara cedri, 457 nucleotides long. The record is from the annotation of a GenBank genome assembly. NCBI's taxonomy places the organism in Eukaryota, Metazoa, Arthropoda, Insecta, Hemiptera, Aphididae.